This 2042-nucleotide ribosomal RNA is filed under the name human oral metagenome. RNAcentral's name for it is "bacterial LSU rRNA". It matches the Rfam family "Bacterial large subunit ribosomal RNA", at positions 1096 to 2925 of the family's 2925-position model. The record is from RNAcentral.
GGAGGUUGGCUCAGAAGCAGCCAUCCUUGAAAGAGUGCGUAAUAGCUCACUGGUCAAGUGGUCGUGCGCCGACAAUUGAGCGGGGCUCAAGCGCGCCGCCGAAGCCGCGGAUCCGCCGCGAUGGGCCCGGCCGCCCCCUGUGGGGGGGUGGUGGGGCGCGGCGGGUGGUAGGGGAGCGUCCCGCGCGGGGUGAAGCCGCCGGGUGACCGGGGGUGGACGGCGCGGGAGUGAGAAUGCAGGCAUGAGUAGCGAUACUGGGGUGGGAGUCCCCAGCGCCGUAUGACCAAGGGUUCCAGGGCCAGGCUGGUCCGCCCUGGGUGAGUCGGGACCUAAGGCGAGGCCGACGGGCGUAGUCGAUGGAUGACGGGUUGAUAUUCCCGUACCGGACCGGAUACCGACCGUGCCGACGCGCGGGUGCUGACCCACGCCCCGCGCCGCCCGUGUACGCCCCCGCGUCCCGGUCUUCGGGCCGGGCGGGGGCGGGGCGGCGGGGGUCUGGGGACCCUCCGCGCAGGUAGGCAAGCGUAUUAACAGGGGUGACGCGCAGUGGUGGCCCCGCGGGUCUGAUGGCUCGGCCCGUUCAAGCGCGCGGCCCGCCGCCCAGGCAAAUCCGGGCGGCUGCCUUCGAUGGCGGGGGUGAGGCGCGAUGGUGACCCGGCCCGACCGGCCGGGGAAGCAGGGUGAUCCUGUGGCGCCGAGAAAAGCCUCGACGCGAGGGGCCGGUCCGCCCGUACCCCAAACCGACACAGGUGGUCGGGCAGAGCAUGCCCAGGCGCACGGGCGAACCGUGGUGAAGGAACUCGGCAAAACGCCCCCGUAACUUCGGGAGAAGGGGGGCCCGAACCCUGAAACGGCUGGCCCGUUGGGGGUGAGGGUCGCAGAGGCCAGGGGGGAGCGACUGUUUACUAAAAACACAGGUCCGUGCGAAGCCGCAAGGCGAUGUAUACGGACUGACGCCUGCCCGGUGCUGGAAGGUCAAGAGGAUCCCUCAGCCCCCCGCGGGGGUGAAGGGGUGAGUCCAAGCCCCAGUAAACGGCGGUGGUAACUAUAACCAUCCUAAGGUAGCGAAAUUCCUUGUCGGGUAAGUUCCGACCUGCACGAAUGGCGUAACGACUCCCCCGCUGUCUCCACCACGGGCCCGGCGAAAUUGCAUUACGAGUAAAGAUGCUCGUUGCGCGCAGAAGGACGGAAAGACCCCGGGACCUUCACUGCAGCUUGGUAUUGGCGCCCGGUUCGGCUCGUGCAGGAUAGGUGGGAGACUGUGAGGCCGCCGCGUCAGCGGUGCGCGGAGUCGUCGUUGAGAUACCACUCCGGCCGUGUCGUGCGCCUGAACCUGGGCCCGUGAUCCGGGUCAGGGACAGUGCCUGGCGGGUAGUUCAACUGGGGCGGUUGCCUCCCAAAGGGUAACGGAGGCGCUCAAGGGUCCCCUCAGCCUGGUCGGCAACCAGGUGUCGAGUGCAAGUGCACAAGGGGGCUUGACUGCGAGACCGACGGGUCGGGCAGGUGCGAAAGCAGGAACUAGUGAUCCGGCGGCUCCGUGUGGACGGGCCGUCGCUCAACGGAUAAAAGGUACCCCGGGGAUAACAGGCUGAUCCUGCCCAAGAGUCCAUAUCGACGGCAUGGUUUGGCACCUCGAUGUCGGCUCGUCGCAUCCUGGGGCUGGAGCAGGUCCCAAGGGUUGGGCUGUUCGCCCAUUAAAGCGGUACGCGAGCUGGGUUUAGAACGUCGUGAGACAGUUCGGUCCCUAUCCUCUGCGCGCGCAGGAGACUUGAGGAGACCCGUCCCCAGUACGAGAGGACCGGGACGGACGGACCUCUGGUGCGCCAGUUGUCCCGCCAGGGGCACCGCUGGUUGGCCACGUCCGGGAAGGGUAACCGCUGAAGGCAUCUAAGCGGGAAACCACCUCCAAGACCAGGUCCCCGCACAACCCCCCCAGGGGGUUGUGGAAGGCCCCCAGUGGACCACUGGGUCGAUAGGCCGGAGGUGCAAGCCCGGCAACGGGCUCAGCCGACCGGUACUAAUAGGCCGACACGAACCACACA